CCUUAGAUGUUCUGGGCCGCACGCGCGCUACACUGACGGAGCCAGCGAGUACUCCCUUGGCCGAAAGGCCUGGGUAAUCUUGUUAAACUCCGUCGUGCUGGGGAUAGAGCAUUGCAAUUAUUGCUCUUCAACGAGGAAUCCCUAGUAAGCGCAAGUCAUCAGCUUGCGUUGAUUACGUCCCUGCCCUUUGUACACACCGCCCGUCGCUACUACCGAUUGAAUGGCUCAGUGAGGCGUCCGGACUGGCCCAGACAGGUGGGCAACUACCAGUCAGGGCCGGAAAGCUCUCCAAACUCGGUCAUUUAGAGGAAGUAAAAGUCGUAACAAGGUCUCCGUAGGUGAACCUGCG
RNAcentral lists this ribosomal RNA (349 nucleotides) under Cordyceps memorabilis. RNAcentral's name for it is "SSU rRNA". It matches the Rfam family "Eukaryotic small subunit ribosomal RNA", at positions 1471 to 1819 of the family's 1831-position model. The record is from RNAcentral. Lineage: Eukaryota; Fungi; Ascomycota; Sordariomycetes; Hypocreales; Cordycipitaceae.